AUUGAACGCUGGCGGCGUGCCUAACACAUGCAAGUCGAGCGGUAACAGGUGUAGCAAUACAUGCUGACGAGCGGCGAACGGGUGAGUAAUGCUUCGGAAUCUACCUUAUGGUGGGGAAUAACUAGCCGAAAGGUUAGCUAAUACCGCAUACGUCCUACGGGAGAAAGCAGGGGAUCGCAAGACCUUGCGCCAAAAGAUGAGCCGAAGUCGGAUUAGCUAGUUGGUAGGGGAACGGCCUACCAAGGCGACGAUCCGUAGCUGGUCUGAGAGGACGACCAGCCACACUGGGACUGAGACACGGACCAGACGCCUACGGGAGGCAGCAGUGGGGAAUAUUGGACAAUGGGGGAAACCCUGAUCCAGCGACGCCGCGUGUGUGAAGAAGGCCUGCGGGUUGUAAAGCACUUUUAGUGGGGAUGAAAUGUGCAGGGUUAAUACCUCUGCAUUUUGACCUAACCCACAGAAAAAGCACCGGCUAACUCUGUGCCAGCCGCCGCCGUAA
RNAcentral lists this ribosomal RNA (502 nucleotides) under uncultured bacterium. RNAcentral's name for it is "partial 16S ribosomal RNA". It matches the Rfam family "Bacterial small subunit ribosomal RNA", at positions 30 to 523 of the family's 1533-position model. The record is from RNAcentral.